GAUAGAGUGACUGAAAUAAUUAGGUGAUAAAUUGUAAAUUUAUUUAUGGCUAUCUAGCCCUCUAUCA
RNAcentral lists this transfer RNA (67 nucleotides) under Picromerus lewisi. RNAcentral's name for it is "tRNA-Tyr". Lineage: Eukaryota; Metazoa; Arthropoda; Insecta; Hemiptera; Pentatomidae. RNAcentral also lists the same sequence under 1 other name. The record is from RNAcentral.